CGCCUACNAUGCAAGUCGAACGGAGCUUGCACCUAACACGGAAUGUUGGUAAAAACCAAUGCUUGCGUGUUAGGGGUAAGUUUAGUGGCGGACGGGUGAGUAACACGUGAGCAACCUGCCGAAGAGUGGGGGAUAACGUUUGGAAACGAACGCUAAUACCGCAUAAAAUACCGGGAUGGCAUCAUACUGGUAUCAAAGGAGCAAUCCGCUUUUUGAUGGGCUCGCGCCCGAUUAGGUAGUUGGUGAGGUAAUGGCCCACCAAGCCUGCGAUCGGUAGCCGGACUGAGAGGUUGAACGGCCACAUUGGGACUGAGACACGGCCCAGACUCCUACGGGAGGCAGCAGUGGGGGAUAUUGCACAAUGGGGGAAACCCUGAUGCAGCGACGCCGCGUGAGUGAAGACGGUCUUCGGAUUGCAAAGCUCUGUUGCAGAGGACGAUAAUGACGGUACUCUGUGAGGAAGCCACGGCUAACUACGUGCCAGCAGCCGCGGUAAUACGUAGGUGGCAAGCGUUGUCCGGAAUUACUGGGUGUAAAGGGAGCGUAGGCGGGGAGACAAGUUGGAUGUGAAAUACCCAGGCUUAACCUGGGGGCUGCAUCCAAAACUGUUUUUCUUGAGUGAUGUAGAGGCAGGCGGAAUUCCUAGUGUAGCGGUGAAAUGCGUAGAUAUUAGGAGGAACACCAGUGGCGAAGGCCGGCCUGCUGGGCAUUAACUGACGCUGAGGCUCGAAAGCCUGGGGAGCAAACAGGAUUAGAUACCCUGGUAGUCCACGCUGUAAACGAUGAUUACUAGGUGUGGGGGACUGACCCCCUUCCNUGCCCGAGUUAACACAAUAAGUAAUCCCACCUGGGGAGUACCGCCCCCCAAGGUUUGAAACCUCAAANGAAUUGAACGGGGGCCCCCCCACAAGCCNGUGGAAUUAUGUGGUUUAAUUUCCNAAGCCAACCCCCNAAAAACCC
This 960-nucleotide ribosomal RNA is filed under the name uncultured bacterium. RNAcentral describes it as "bacterial SSU rRNA". It matches the Rfam family "Bacterial small subunit ribosomal RNA", at positions 45 to 971 of the family's 1533-position model. The record is from RNAcentral.